GACGAACGCUGGCGGCGUGCCUAACACAUGCAAGUCGAACGGAACUGUUUUGAAAGCUUUCUUCGGAAUGAAUUUGAUUUAGUUUAGUGGAGGACGGGUGAGUAACGCGUGAGUAACCUGCCUUCAAGAGGGGAAUAACAUUAUGAAAAGAAUGCUAAUACCGCAUGAAAUAUCGGAACCACAUGAUUUUGUUAUCAAAGAUUUUAUCGCUUGAAGAUGGACUCGCGUCGGAUUAGUUAGUUGGUGAGGUAAAGGCGCACCAAGACCGCGAUCGGUAGCCGGAAUGAGAGGUUGAACGGCCACAUUCGGACGGAGACACGGCCCAGACACCUACGGGAGUCAGCAGUGGGUGAUCUUGCGCAAGGGGGGCAAGCCUGACGCAGCAACGCCGCGUGAAAGAUUAAUGUUUUCGGAGUGCAAACUUCUUUUAUUAUGGACGAAAAAUGACGGUACUUAAUGAAUAAGCUCCGGCUAACUACGUG
This 482-nucleotide ribosomal RNA is filed under the name uncultured bacterium. RNAcentral's name for it is "partial 16S ribosomal RNA". It matches the Rfam family "Bacterial small subunit ribosomal RNA", at positions 28 to 507 of the family's 1533-position model. The record is from RNAcentral.